UGCAUUAACAAUAAGUUUUUACAACAUNGACUAUGUCGAAUAAAGUUNUAGGUAGAGUUAUGAUAANGACAUUUUNUAUNUAUGUGUNUUGACCAAAUCACGUGCCAGCAGUCGCGGUAAUACGUGGAAGACUAGUGUUAUUCAUCUUUAAUUGGUUUAAAGGGUACCUAGACGGUNUNUUAAGCCCCUAAAGGGUACUUACAGACUAGAGUUUGAUGAGAGGGGGGAAGUACGAGAGAGUGUAGAGAUGAAAUUNUGUCAUACCUUACUUGGAACAGGCAACGGNGAAAGCAACUCCUUAUGUAAAAANUGACGUUGAAGGACGAAGGCUUGGGACACCAACAGGAUUAGAUACCCCAGCAGUCCUUGCAGACAAUGAUGAAUGUCAUAGAUUGGAAUUAAAUAUNUUUUUUUUUUUAAGAUAUCUUUUUGUCUAUAAAUGAAAGUGUAAGCAUUCCACCUCAAGAGUAAUGUGGCAACGCAGAAACUGAAAUCAUUAGACCGUUUCUGAAACCAGUAGUGAAGUAUGUUGUUUAAUUUGGUGACCCGCAAAACACCUUACCACAAUUUGAAUAUUUUUAUGUUUAUAUAAAUACAAGCGUUGCACGGCUGUCUUCAG
Molecule: ribosomal RNA, 619 nt
Filed under: Xylographa parallela
Lineage: Eukaryota; Fungi; Ascomycota; Lecanoromycetes; Baeomycetales; Xylographaceae
Description: partial small subunit ribosomal RNA
Rfam family: Bacterial small subunit ribosomal RNA
Source: RNAcentral